GGCUUUAUGGUGCAGUGGUUAGCACAUCUGCUUUACACACAGAAGGUCCUGGGUUCUUGCCCCAGGUAGAGCCA
This 74-nucleotide transfer RNA is filed under the name Pteropus alecto (black flying fox). It matches the Rfam family "tRNA". From Rfam's summary of the family: Transfer RNA (tRNA) molecules are approximately 80 nucleotides in length. Lineage: Eukaryota; Metazoa; Chordata; Mammalia; Chiroptera; Pteropodidae. The record is from Rfam by way of RNAcentral.